AUGGAGACGACCGGUAGCAAGAUGCUGAAGCCGGUGCACUCGGCGCCGCACCCGCUCGCAGGCGAGAUGGUCCCGCUGACGCUCUUCGACCGCGCCGCCAUGGACAUCUUUGUCUCCCUCAUCCUCGUGUACCCCGCGCCGACUCCGUCCAACGAGGCACUCGUGGAGGGCCUGCGCAGGGCUGUCGCGCCGUACCCUCACCUGGCCGGGCGGCUCGCCGUCGACCACUCAGGCAGGCGCUCCAUCUACCUCAACAACGACGGCGUGCUUGUCCUGGACACCGAGGUCCCUGUCGAUAUGGCGAGCGUGGUCGCCGACGGCUGCUUUACCGCCGCCACCGAGGGCCUGUACCCUGCACUGCCACCGCCGGAGGAGAACGUCGGGGCGGCGCUGCUGCAGAUCAAGCUGAACCGGUACAAGUGCGGCGGCCUCGUGAUCGGCAUCAUCCACCACCACCACGCAGCCGACGGCCGCUCCUUCAGCAACUUCCUCACCACGUGGGCCAGCGCAGUUCGCCAAGCCAGCGAAUUCACCGCCCCGUCCCCUUCCCUCGACCGCGCGGCGACCGCCGUGCCUCGGAGCGUGCCGAUGCCGGCGUUCGACCACCGGUGCAUCGAGUUCAGCGGAGAAGAAGACGGCUGCCGUAGCUCCUCCUACUCCCACCCCACGUGCAAGAUCAAGAAUCUCACGUUGCGCUUCACGGCCGAGUUCGUCGCAGAGCUCAAGGCCCACGUCGGCACCCCAUGCAGCACGUUCCAGUGCCUUCUCGCGCACGUGUGGAAGAAGAUCACGGCGGCGCGCGGCCUGAAGCCCGACGAGUUCACGCAGGUCAGGGUGGCCGUGGACUGCCGGGGCAGGGCCAACCGUGCCGUCCCGCCGGACUUCUUCGGGAACAUGGUGCUGUGGGCAUUCCCGAGGCUCCAAGUCCGGGACGUCCUGGGCUGGACCUACGGCAGCGUGGUAGGCGCCAUCCGCGACGCCAUUGGGCGUGUCGAUGCCGCGUACAUCCAGUCGUUCGUGGACUUCGGGAGCGUGGCGGACGCGAACUGGGAGGAGCUCGCGGCGACGGCGCCAACCUCCGGCGCCAUGCUCUGUCCGGACCUGGAGGUGGACGGCAGUCUGGGUUUCAGGUUCCACCAGAUUGACCUCGGCAGUGGGCCGCCAUCCGCGUUCCUCAUGCCGGACUUGCCCGUCGAGGGGCUCAUGACAUUUGUGCCGUCGUGCUCAGCCGAGGGCAGCGUCGACGUCCACAUGGCCGUCGCCGAGGAUCACGUCGCGGCGCUUGAGCAUAUAUGCUACUCCUUGGACGAAAGAGCUAAACCGAAGUUGUAA
RNAcentral lists this ribosomal RNA (1332 nucleotides) under Triticum aestivum (bread wheat). RNAcentral's name for it is "partial small subunit ribosomal RNA". Lineage: Eukaryota; Viridiplantae; Streptophyta; Magnoliopsida; Poales; Poaceae. The record is from RNAcentral.